RNAcentral lists this ribosomal RNA (228 nucleotides) under uncultured bacterium. Its description in RNAcentral is "partial 16S ribosomal RNA". It matches the Rfam family "Bacterial small subunit ribosomal RNA", at positions 568 to 795 of the family's 1533-position model. The record is from RNAcentral.
UGCGUAGGCGGAAUAUCAAGUCAGUGGUGAAAUCCUACGGCUCAACCGUAGAACUGCCAUUGAUACUGAUAUUCUUGAAUGUAGUUGAGGUAGGCGGAAUGUGUAAUGUAGCGGUGAAAUGCUUAGAUAUUACACAGAACACCGAUUGCGAAGGCAGCUUACUAAACUAUGAUUGACGCUGAGGCACGAAAGCGUGGGGAGCGAACAGGAUUAGAUACCCUGGUAGUC